UGGGUAACCUGCCCGGAAGUGGGGAAUACCUCGGGGAAACUCGAGCUAAUACCGCAUGACAUCUUUAGGACGAAAGUCCUGACGAUCAAAGCGGGGUCGCAAGAUCUCGCGCUACCGGAUGGGCCCGCGCCCGAUUAGCUAGUUGGUGAGGUAACGGCUCACCAAGGCAACGAUGCGUAGCCGACCUGAGAGGGUGAUCGGCCACAUUGGAACUGAGACACGGUCCAGACUCCGUAGGGAGG
Molecule: ribosomal RNA, 242 nt
Filed under: uncultured bacterium
Lineage: Bacteria
Description: partial 16S ribosomal RNA
Rfam family: Bacterial small subunit ribosomal RNA
Source: RNAcentral